AACGCGAAGAACCUUACCUGGGUUUGACAUGCACAGGACGCUGGUAGAGAUAUCAGUUCCCUUGUGGUCUGUGUGCAGGUGGUGCAUGGCUGUCGUCAGCUCGUGUCGUGAGAUGUUGGGUUAAGUCCCGCAACGAGCGCAACCCUUGUCUCAUGUUGCCAGCGGGUGAUGCCGGGGACUCGUGAGAGACUGCCGGGGUCAACUCGGAGGAAGGUGGGGAUGACGUCAAGUCAUCAUGCCCCUUAUGUCCAGGGCUUCACACAUGCUACAAUGGCCGGUACAAAGGGCUGCGAUGCCGUGAGGUUAAGCGAAUCCUUUAAAGCCGGUCUCAGUUCGGAUCGGGGUCUGCAACUCGACCCCGUGAAGUCGGAGUCGCUAGUAAUCGCAGAUCAGCAACGCUGCGGUGAAUACGUUCCCGGGCCUUGUA
This 427-nucleotide ribosomal RNA is filed under the name uncultured Actinomycetes bacterium. Its description in RNAcentral is "bacterial SSU rRNA". It matches the Rfam family "Bacterial small subunit ribosomal RNA", at positions 958 to 1385 of the family's 1533-position model. The record is from RNAcentral. Lineage: Bacteria; Bacillati; Actinomycetota; Actinomycetes.